GAUGAAGAACGUAGCGAAAUGCGAUAAGUAAUGCGAAUUGCAGAAUUUCCGUGAGUCAUCGAAUCUUUGAACGCACAUUGCGCCCAUUGGUAUUCCGAUGGGCAUGCCUGUUCGAGCGUCAUUAUCUUCCCUCAAACCUCGCGUUUGGUGUUGGGCCGUGCUGGUUCCUGCGGGACCAACUGGCCUCAAAGACAAUGACGGCGUCCGUGGGACCCUCGGUGCAACGAGCUUUUUCAGGAGCACGCGUCGAGUUUUAAAGGACCUUUCCGGGCCGGUCUCUCCGUAUGUUAUUACAAAGGUUGACCUCGGAUCAGGUAGGGAUACCCGCUGAACUUAAGCAUAUCAAUAAGCGGAGGA
This 357-nucleotide unclassified non-coding RNA is filed under the name soil metagenome. Its description in RNAcentral is "partial contains 5.8S ribosomal RNA, internal transcribed spacer 2, and large subunit ribosomal RNA". The stretch from base 1 to 121 matches the Rfam family "5.8S ribosomal RNA", at positions 35 to 154 of the family's 154-position model. The record is from RNAcentral.